CCUACGGGAGGCAGCAGUGGGGAAUAUUGCACAAUGGGGGAAACCCUGAUGCAGCGACGCCGCGUGAGUGAAGAAGUAUUUCGGUAUGUAAAGCUCUAUCAGCAGGGAAGAAAAUGACGGUACCUGAGUAAGAAGCCCCGGCUAACUACGUGCCAGCAGCCGCGGUAAUACGUAGGGGGCAAGCGUUAUCCGGAUUUACUGGGUGUAAAGGGAGCGUAGACGGCAGCACAAGUCUGUAGUGAAAUGCCGGGGCUUAACCCCGGAACUGCUUUGGAAACUGUGCAGCUAGAGUGCAGGAGAGGUAAGUGGAAUUCGUAGUGGAGCGGUGAAAUGCGUAGAUAUUAGGAGGAACACCAGUGGCGAAGGCGGCUUACUGGACUGUAACUGACGUUGAGGCUCGAAAGCGUGGGGAGCAAACAGGAUUAGAUACCCGAGUAGUC
RNAcentral lists this ribosomal RNA (440 nucleotides) under uncultured bacterium. RNAcentral describes it as "partial 16S ribosomal RNA". It matches the Rfam family "Bacterial small subunit ribosomal RNA", at positions 338 to 795 of the family's 1533-position model. The record is from RNAcentral.